CCCGCUCAGAAACUCAAGGAAUUGACGGGGGCCCGCACAAGCGGUGGAGCAUGUGGUUUAAUUCGAUGAUACGCGAGGAACCUUACCUGGGCUCAAAUGUAUGUUGACGUAUUCUGAAAGGGAUACUUCUUCGGACAAUAUACAAGGUGCUGCAUGGUUGUCGUCAGCUCGUGCCGUGAGGUGUCGGGUUAAGUCCCAUAACGAGCGCAACCCCUAUCAUUAGUUGCCAUCAGGUCAAGCUGGGGACUCUAAUGAAACUGCCUACGCAAGUAGUGAGGAAGGUGGGGAUGACGUCAAAUCAGCACGGCCCUUACGUCCAGGGCUACACACGUGCUACAAUGGCCGGUACAAAGGGCAGCUACCUGGUGACAGGAUGCUAAUCUCAAAAGCCGGUCUCAGUUCGGAUCGGAGUCUGCAACCCGACUCCGUGAAGCUGGAUUCGCUAGUAAUCGCGCAUCAGCCACGGCGCGGUGAAUACGUUCCCGGGCCUU
Molecule: ribosomal RNA, 491 nt
Filed under: uncultured Sphingobacteriales bacterium
Lineage: Bacteria; Pseudomonadati; Bacteroidota; Sphingobacteriia; Sphingobacteriales
Description: bacterial SSU rRNA
Rfam family: Bacterial small subunit ribosomal RNA
Source: RNAcentral